RNAcentral lists this ribosomal RNA (393 nucleotides) under uncultured bacterium. Its description in RNAcentral is "bacterial SSU rRNA". It matches the Rfam family "Bacterial small subunit ribosomal RNA", at positions 975 to 1368 of the family's 1533-position model. The record is from RNAcentral.
CCACCUUUGACAUGUACGGAAUUCGCCAGAGAUGGCUUAGUGCUCGAAAGAGAACCGUAACACAGGUGCUGCAUGGCUGUCGUCAGCUCGUGUCGUGAGAUGUUGGGUUAAGUCCCGCAACGAGCGCAACCCUUGUCAUUAGUUGCUACAUUUAGUUGGGCACUCUAAUGAGACUGCCGGUGACAAACCGGAGGAAGGUGGGGAUGACGUCAAGUCCUCAUGGCCCUUAUAGGUGGGGCUACACACGUCAUACAAUGGCUGGUACAAAGGGUUGCCAACCCGCGAGGGGGAGCUAAUCCCAUAAAACCAGUCGUAGUCCGGAUCGCAGUCUGCAACUCGACUGCGUGAAGUCGGAAUCGCUAGUAAUCGUGGAUCAGAAUGUCACGGUGAAUA